Molecule: long non-coding RNA, 232 nt
Filed under: Volvox carteri
Lineage: Eukaryota; Viridiplantae; Chlorophyta; Chlorophyceae; Chlamydomonadales; Volvocaceae
Description: long non-coding RNA (VCAR_LNC000426)
Source: RNAcentral
GACGCCUGUAUUCGGGCUCUCAGUUCCUUAUGCCAAAUAUGGCGCGUCUCGAAAAAAAACCAUUCCCGCCCCCGGUGCUCCGGCAGCGCUCCCUUUCCGAGCACGUGGCGAGCGAGGAGCUUCUCCAUGACAGUGUCCCUGUAACGCGGGCAUCGCAACUGAUUUCGCUUAGCGCACCGCUGCGAGGCCCUCCUAUUCUGCGAGACCCAUCCUUCCCUCCUGUGUCAGUGCU